GGAGGAAGAAGGUCUUCGGAUUGUAAACUCCUGUUGUUGAGGAAGAUAAUGACGGUACUCAACAAGGAAGUGACGGCUAACUACGUGCCAGCAGCCGCGGUAAAACGUAGGUCACAAGCGUUGUCCGGAAUUACUGGGUGUAAAGGGAGCGCAGGCGGGCGAUCAAGUUGGAAGUGAAAUCCAUGGGCUCCACCCAUGAACUGCUUUCAAAACUGGUCGUCUUGAGUAGUGCAGAGGUAGGCGGAAUUCCCGGUGUAGCGGUGGAAUGCGUAGAU
Molecule: ribosomal RNA, 275 nt
Filed under: uncultured bacterium
Lineage: Bacteria
Description: partial 16S ribosomal RNA
Rfam family: Bacterial small subunit ribosomal RNA
Source: RNAcentral